Molecule: non-coding RNA, 24 nt
Filed under: Arabidopsis thaliana (thale cress)
Lineage: Eukaryota; Viridiplantae; Streptophyta; Magnoliopsida; Brassicales; Brassicaceae
Source: RNAcentral
ACCUACAUAAAAAGCAAACGUGAC